RNAcentral lists this ribosomal RNA (514 nucleotides) under uncultured bacterium. RNAcentral's name for it is "bacterial SSU rRNA". It matches the Rfam family "Bacterial small subunit ribosomal RNA", at positions 9 to 518 of the family's 1533-position model. The record is from RNAcentral.
GAGUUUGAUCUUGGCUCAGAUUGAACGCUGGCGGCAGGCCUAACACAUGCAAGUCGAGCGGUAGAGAGAAGCUUGCUUCUCUUGAGAGCGGCGGACGGGUGAGUAAUGCCUAGGAAUCUGCCUGGUAGUGGGGGAUAACGCUCGGAAACGGACGCUAAUACCGCAUACGUCCUACGGGAGAAAGCAGGGGACCUUCGGGCCUUGCGCUAUCAGAUGAGCCUAGGUCGGAUUAGCUAGUUGGUGAGGUAAUGGCUCACCAAGGCGACGAUCCGUAACUGGUCUGAGAGGAUGAUCAGUCACACUGGAACUGAGACACGGUCCAGACUCCUACGGGAGGCAGCAGUGGGGAAUAUUGGACAAUGGGCGAAAGCCUGAUCCAGCCAUGCCGCGUGUGUGAAGAAGGUCUUCGGAUUGUAAAGCACUUUAAGUUGGGAGGAAGGGCAGUAAAUUAAUACUUUGCUGUUUUGACGUUACCGACAGAAUAAACACCGGCUAACUCUGUGCCAGCCGCCGA